Molecule: ribosomal RNA, 213 nt
Filed under: uncultured Staphylococcus sp.
Lineage: Bacteria; Bacillati; Bacillota; Bacilli; Caryophanales; Staphylococcaceae
Description: partial 16S ribosomal RNA
Rfam family: Bacterial small subunit ribosomal RNA
Source: RNAcentral
CGGGAAACCGGAGCUAAUACCGGAUAAUAUAUUGAACCGCAUGGUUCAAUAGUGAAAUACGGUUUUGCUGUCACUUAUAGAUGGAUCCGCGCCGCAUUAGCUAGUUGGUAAGGUAACGGCUUACCAAGGCAACGAUGCGUAGCCGACCUGAGAGGGUGAUCGGCCACACUGGAACUGAGACACGGUCCCAGACUCCUACGGGAGGCAGCAGCC